Molecule: ribosomal RNA, 305 nt
Filed under: uncultured bacterium
Lineage: Bacteria
Description: bacterial SSU rRNA
Rfam family: Bacterial small subunit ribosomal RNA
Source: RNAcentral
GUCAACCUACGGGGGGCAGCAGUGGGGGAUAUUGCACAAUGGGGGAAACCCUGAUGCAGCGACGCCGCGUGUGGGAAGACGGUCCUCUGGAUUGUAAACCACUGUCCCCAGGGACGAAGAUGACGGUACCUGAAGAAGAAGCCCCGGCUAACUACGUGCCAGCAGCCGCGGUAAUACGUAGGGGGCAAGCGUUAUCCGGAUUUACUGGGUGUAAAGGGGGCGCAGACGGCGAUGCAAGCCAGGAGUGAAAGCCCGGGGCCCAACCCCGGGACUGCUCUUGGAACUGCGUGGCUGGAGUGCAGGAG